CUUGGUCAUUUAGAGGAAGUAAAAGUCGUAACAAGGUCUCCGUUGGUGAACCAGCGGAGGGAUCAUUACCGAGUACUAUAACUCAUAACCCUUUGUGAACCUUUAUACCUGUUGCUUCGGCGGCGCGCCUCCCGGGGCGUGCCCGCCGGCAUUAUCAGAAUCUCUGUUCGAACCCGACGAUACAUCUGAGUGUUCUAAGCGAACUGUUAAAACUUUCAACAACGGAUCUCUUGGCUCCAGCAUCGAUGAAGAACGCAGCGAAACGCGAUAUGUAAUGUGAAUUGCAGAAUUCAGUGAAUCAUCGAAUCUUUGAACGCACAUGGCGCCUUCCAGUAUCCUGGGAGGCAUGCCUGUCCGAGCGUCGUUUCAACCCUCGAGCCCCCGUGGCCCGGCGUUGGGGAUCUGCCCAGGCAGUCCCCGAAAACCAGUGGCGGACCCGUUGGGCCCUUCCUUUGCGUAGUAACAUCUGCCUCGCAUCGGGAGCCUGCGGGCUAUCCGGCCUCUAAACCCCCCUCAAGCCCGCUCCGGCGGCACCAAGGUUGACCUCGGAUCAGGUAGGAAUACCCGCUGAACUUAAGCAUAUCAAUAAGCGGAGGAAAAGAAACCAACAGGGAUUGCCUCAGUAACGGCGAGUGAAGCGGCAACAGCUCAAAUUUGAAAUCUGGCUCCUUCGGGGCCCGAGUUGUAAUUUGCAGAGGAUG
RNAcentral lists this small RNA (701 nucleotides) under uncultured Verticillium. RNAcentral describes it as "eukaryotic LSU rRNA". The stretch from base 211 to 364 matches the Rfam family "5.8S ribosomal RNA". The record is from RNAcentral. Lineage: Eukaryota; Fungi; Ascomycota; Sordariomycetes; Hypocreales.